AUGCUGAAGCUUUUGUCAAUUUCCGUAUCCACUCAGCCCAAACACUGCAGGAGGUUCUGGAGUUAGUCGAGUCAACUGUAUCAGAUGAGCGUGUGAAGGUAGAGCUAGUCGAUGGAUUCGACCCGCUGCCCAUCAGCUCCUACGAUGAGCAGGUGUUUGGCUUCCAGAUCAUAAAGAAAACGGUGAAGAGCAAUGUUUCCUCAGCUCACGGUGGCCCCUGGUGUCUGUGUUGGCAACACUGACAGCCGUCACUACAAGUAUAUCACGCAAGAUAUAUAUCGCUUUGCUCCGUCAUGGUUCAAACCAGGUGAUCC
Molecule: long non-coding RNA, 314 nt
Organism: Sinocyclocheilus grahami
Lineage: Eukaryota; Metazoa; Chordata; Actinopteri; Cypriniformes; Cyprinidae
Exons: 3
Source: RefSeq, a predicted model, not a curated record